UACGGAGGGUGCAAGCGUUAAUCGGAAUUACUGGGCGUAAAGAGUGCGUAGGCGGUUUGAUAAGCGGAGUGUGAAAUCCCCCGGCUCAACUGGGGAACUGCAAGGGAUACAGCGGGGCUUGAGUUCGGGAGAGGGAAGCGGAAUUCCGGGUGUAGCGGUGAAAUGCGUAGAGAUGUGGAGGAAUACCAGUGGCGAAGGCGACUCUUUGGCCUGAAACUGACGCUGAGGCGCGAAAGCGUGGGGAGCAAACAGG
RNAcentral lists this ribosomal RNA (253 nucleotides) under uncultured bacterium. RNAcentral's name for it is "partial 16S ribosomal RNA". It matches the Rfam family "Bacterial small subunit ribosomal RNA", at positions 524 to 776 of the family's 1533-position model. The record is from RNAcentral.